CCCAGCCUGUACUACAUAGCAAGUCCCUGUCUCAAAAGAAAAACAAAAAUAAAUGAAAAGAGGCAAUUAACUUUUUCCUGUAGGGUGCUGUCAAGUUGGAGCCUAUGCACCAGGUUUUUGUCACAAUGUAGUAAUUUUUAAAAAUCAUUUUACAAUGGAGACCUCGGUCAUAAAAUCAGAGAGGGGAGUAUACCAAAGCCCUCAUGACUGUCCAGUCCUGUGGCCACAAUCCAAGCCAGUUCUGUUCCUUCUAUAGAUGACUUCUACCCCCUCUUGUUUUGAAAGAAACCGAAGACAUCCUAUCAUUUCAUCUGUAUUGAUUAUACCUAAAAUAGUUAACAGUAAUUCCCUAGUCAUGAAAUAUAUGGAUAGAAUUCUAAUUUCCACUGUCUCAGAAAUGCCCUGAUUUAUUUUUUGGUUUAUGUGUUAAGAAUCCAAAUCACCAGGGGUGUAGUCCCAGCUCCUUGGGAAGCCAAAUCCAGAAGAUCCCUGGAACCCAAGAGUUUGUGGUCAACCUGGGAAACAAAGCGAGACCUGUCUCAGGAAGAAUCAGGAUCCAUGCAGGGUGUGGCACACACCUGUAAUCCUAGCACUCGGGAAGCUGAGAAAUUGCUGCUGUUUAUCGGUGCCCAGACACGCUGCCCGCCGUGGGAUCCGUGUUUUGUAUUUGCACUCGCUCUCACCGGGGACAGUUUUCUCACACUUGCCAUAUUUAGACUGUGCCAGGACUGGUGGGCAUUUGCUGCAGCCCCUGGACUCCCCUGCCCACACCCUCUUCUCCGCGGGUGUCACUCCAGAGAUGGCUGUGGAGUAAGCAUUGCAGCUCGCUAGCAGCACCGAAGUCCAGGCACAUGUGAGCUGCCCAGCUGCCCACUGCAGCCCUGGCUGGGCACUCAGGAGUCCUCAGAGAUCCAGAACUGCCCCAGCCUGCUCGUCAGCUCACAUGGUCCACAUUUUCAAGGAUUCGUUUUCGUAUCAACUUGUUGAGGUUCUGGGAUGUGCAGACAGCUGGGAAAUCAUCAUUCUUUGUGUCUGCAAGCAUUUCUCAGUAGAAGAGGUUUUGAAUCUGUGCCGGGUGAAGAUGAUCUACCUGCACCAGUAUCACCUAAUGCAUUGUCUAAUGCGUUCAAGGCCUGAAUAGAACAAAGAGGGAGAAGAAGAGCAAAUUCGCUCUGCUGGAGCCAGGCCAUCUGUCUUCUCCUGCCUUGGAUACCAGAACUCCUGACUCCAGGCCUCCGGACUCUGAGACAUAUGUACCAGGCCCCUCACCGCACCCCCGGGCCUUCAGAUCUGGCUGCAAGUGAACACUGUUGGCUCGGCCUUGAACUGCUGGAUGCUACAGCUUUCCUGCUUUCCUGCUUGCUGGUGACAGAUGGUGGGACUUGUCAGCCUCCACAGUUAUGUGAGCAAAUUCCCAUAAUAAACAAGUAAAUAAAUA
Long non-coding RNA from Chinchilla lanigera (long-tailed chinchilla), 1438 nucleotides. RefSeq lists it as uncharacterized. The transcript has 2 exons. NCBI's taxonomy places the organism in Eukaryota, Metazoa, Chordata, Mammalia, Rodentia, Chinchillidae. The record is from RefSeq and is a predicted model, not a curated record.